RNAcentral lists this long non-coding RNA (292 nucleotides) under Sorghum bicolor (sorghum). RNAcentral's name for it is "long non-coding RNA (SBIC_LNC012454)". The record is from RNAcentral. Lineage: Eukaryota; Viridiplantae; Streptophyta; Magnoliopsida; Poales; Poaceae.
UCAUCACCUCGGUACAGGAUACAAUGAUUUCUACACGCAUGGAUCUUCUCGACACCCAUAGUCAGCGGACUGAUCAGCUUCUUUGCAUAGUAUGUGUUAGCAGGCACUUUGUUCUCCUUUGGAAGCAUAUCGCCGAUAAUACUUAAGAACGCAUCGAAUCCAGCAUCAGACAAACCAUACCUGGCUUUUGCCAUCAACAGUUUUAGCACAGCUCGCAACGUUGUGUACUCUUUGGUACAACCUUUAGACUCAUCAUACAAAGGCUCUUCUGCUGCCUUCUUCAAGGCCUCCA